AUUUACGAAAUUGGGUGACAUGCAUUUUUAUUGCUGUCGAGACGAAGAAUAAAUUAUAAAAUACUUGGGUACAUCAAUAUAUUGGUUAAGAGAAUUUCAUAUCUGCAUGUGUUGGCUCCGUCUUACUAAUGCACGAUAUAUCAAAAUUACGUUAUUCGGAAUAUAAUUUAUCACUAACGAAACGUAAACAUUUAAAACUAUU
Cinara cedri is the source of this 202-nucleotide non-coding RNA. The record is from the annotation of a GenBank genome assembly. Lineage: Eukaryota; Metazoa; Arthropoda; Insecta; Hemiptera; Aphididae.